RNAcentral lists this ribosomal RNA (274 nucleotides) under uncultured bacterium. RNAcentral describes it as "partial 16S ribosomal RNA". It matches the Rfam family "Bacterial small subunit ribosomal RNA", at positions 897 to 1172 of the family's 1533-position model. The record is from RNAcentral.
AAACUCAAAGGAAUUGACGGGGGCCCGCACAAGCGGCGGAGCAUGUGGAUUAAUUCGAUGCAACGCGAAGAACCUUACCUGGGCUUGACAUACACCGGACCGGGCUAGAGAUAGUCCUUCCCUUGUGGCUGGUGUACAGGUGGUGCAUGGUUGUCGUCAGCUCGUGUCGUGAGAUGUUGGGUUAAGUCCCGUAACGAGCGCAACCCUUGUCUUAUGUUGCCAGCACAUUAUGGUGGGGACUCAUGAGAGACUGCCGGGGUCAACUCGGAGGAAG